GGAAGCCGGUGCAAACCCGGCGCGGUCGCGCCACUGUGAUCGGUUCCGCAACCUUGAGCGGGGCCGAGAGCCAGAC
This 76-nucleotide non-coding RNA is filed under the name Azorhizobium caulinodans. The record is from RNAcentral. Lineage: Bacteria; Pseudomonadati; Pseudomonadota; Alphaproteobacteria; Hyphomicrobiales; Xanthobacteraceae.